RNAcentral lists this unclassified non-coding RNA (402 nucleotides) under fungal sp. Its description in RNAcentral is "partial internal transcribed spacer region". The stretch from base 1 to 46 matches the Rfam family "Eukaryotic small subunit ribosomal RNA", at positions 1786 to 1831 of the family's 1831-position model. Lineage: Eukaryota; Fungi. The record is from RNAcentral.
AAGUCGUAACAAGGUUUCCGUAGGUGAACCUGCGGAAGGAUCAUUAACACGUAUCCACGUAUCAAACCCUCGUGCUCUCCGGUAGUGCUCGGUCGUGAAGGGGAAAGUGUGCUGUUGGGGUCGGGUGAGUGGUGAGACAGGUUCUUCGGGACUUGGUCUGGCACUCGCUCCUUCAGCUUGAGUUGGUCUCUCGGGUUCAACUCUGCCUUUUUCUUUUGCGGUCGGGUCGCUUUUUUUCACAACCUAAUGGUUUCUCUUACCAUUAAGCCAUUACGGUUGUAACUUUCAAUUUUUAACCCCUUUAACUAUCUUGACUGACUAUUUCAUAUAACAAGCUGGAAACGGCUUGCUUAUAAUAUACGAAAUGCUUGACAACUCUUAGCAACGGAUAUCUUGGUUCCC